This is a long non-coding RNA of Caretta caretta (loggerhead turtle), 1092 nucleotides long. RefSeq lists it as uncharacterized. Lineage: Eukaryota; Metazoa; Chordata; Testudines; Cheloniidae. The record is from RefSeq and is a predicted model, not a curated record.
UUAAUGAAUGAAUGCAGGGGAAGGAGGGCAGGAAUGGAGUAAAGCCUGCUGACAUGCUGAAACAAGUCUGCCGCUCUUAUGGCCAGUAGCCCUGGCUGAGCAAUAAGGCAGGAGAAGGUUGUUGGAGGGACUUUCCAGCAGAACAGGCAUGGGUCUGCACAGCUAAAGUAAUCUUAAGAAGGGGCUACUCCCACAAUAACCUCCCCAGGGGCGAAUUUGAACACAAGGUUAAUGUAAUAGCUUCUCACCAGCUGACUUUGCCUACACUAGGCAAUCCUGUUGGACAGGACACUGAAUACUGACCACCACCUUUCACCCCCCAAACCAGUGUUACAAGCAGGUGUCCUCUUAGCAUGGAUGAGGAAGAGAACCCAGAUGAGUGUGCUUCCCAUGCAUUAUUAGAUAGCACUUUUGUCUUCAAACUUGUUUGGCUUUUUGCUCACCCUACACCACAAGGCUUGUUUGGAGGCUUCUCCAACUAGUGCUGUGGAAAGGAUUGUGUCAGGAGGCCAGAAACUGGGGGCAUGCCUUGUGGAAGAGGGAAACGCUGGAGACAAAGCAAACAGAUACUCCCCCCCUCCUUUAUACAGAAGCGUCUUUACUAACGAAGGAAGAGACCUGCACUGUUGGAUAGUGUUGGUAUGCCCUACUGGACAACUGCCGUGUUCCAGCCCAGAAGGUGGAACUUCAGCAGAAAUACAUUCUGCUGGAGAGGUGCUACAGUUACACCUUUUACCCAGCAGGGGCUGCUGUGGCAUCAGGACAAAGGGCAGCUGGUCCAGGGCAGGAGCAGCCCCAGAUUCAGCUAGGGAAGAGAAGAAGCUGCAUUCUUCACAGCGCCCUGCCUGUGGGGCCAAGUUAGGAGGCAUGGCACAUGUGAGGAUGGCCAUCGUGGGGCAUAUGGCUUUCGGGGGGGUCACAGACUGUGGUCCAGAAGGGCUAGUGAGGGGGUUGAAUAGGAGUCGGGAUGCAGGGACAAAUGGGAGUGGGUGGCUGAGUGGGGAUGCAGGGCCACAUGGGGUCUGAGGGUGGCUGAGUAGGGGGUAUGGAAAAUACAUUUCUGUAUUGUAGUUGAAAUGAACUAUUACUCCA